CCCAGACUCCUACGGGAGGCAGCAGUGAGGAAUAUUGGUCAAUGGGCGCGAGCCUGAACCAGCCAAGUCGCGUGAGGGAAGACGGUCCUAUGGAUUGUAAACCUCUUUUGUCGGGGAGCAAAAGACGCCACGCGUGGCGUUCCGAGAGUACCCGAAGAAAAAGCAUCGGCUAACUCCGUGCCAGCAGCCGCGGUAAUACGGAGGAUGCGAGCGUUAUCCGGAUUUAUUGGGUUUAAAGGGGGCGGAGGCGGGAAGAUAAGGUAGGCGGUAAAAUUGGGGGGCACAACCGCGGCGAGCCGUUGAAACUGGUUUUCUUGAGUGAGCGAGAAGUAUGCGGAAUGCGUGGUGUAGCGGUGAAAUGCAUAGAUAUCACGCAGAACUCCGAUUGCGAAGGCAGCAUACCGGCGCUCAACUGACGCUGAUGCACGAAAGUGUGGGUAUCGAACAGGAUUAGAUACCCGCGUA
This 465-nucleotide ribosomal RNA is filed under the name uncultured bacterium. RNAcentral describes it as "bacterial SSU rRNA". It matches the Rfam family "Bacterial small subunit ribosomal RNA", at positions 330 to 792 of the family's 1533-position model. The record is from RNAcentral.